Molecule: long non-coding RNA, 2081 nt
Organism: Triticum aestivum (bread wheat)
Lineage: Eukaryota; Viridiplantae; Streptophyta; Magnoliopsida; Poales; Poaceae
Exons: 3
Source: RefSeq, a predicted model, not a curated record
GAAAAAAAGUAUUCCACCCUCUCCCAUCACCUCGUUUGUUCUGGAAACCCUCGCCGGCGCCGCCCACUCGUGCUUCAUCGCCGGCAACUGGUGGGAUGGACACUGCGGUCAUGGAGUUUUUGCUUGACGUGGUUGACAGGUUCCCAAUAAGAGAGGAAUUCGCUGACAGCCUUGAACAGCCGGAUCCGGUUUUGCUGCAUUACCUGAUAGGAAACAGGGCAGUGAAUGCAGAAGCAGGUGAUUCUGAUGGUGGAUCUAGCAUGGCUCAAAAGGAUGGCGAGGAUGGGGCGGAUGUACCAUGAGAAGGUGCCCGUCGGCGACAUGCUGCUUCACCGACGAGGUCAGCUCAGCACACUGACAGAGUAAAUCUAGAGGCCCCUGGGUGGACCAAAAGACCAAUGCAGAGCUAUGGAAGUGGCGAUCAGCAAGACUUACCCUGGCAUCGUGCACCGAUGGUGCAAGUGGCAUGUCCUGAAGAAAGAAAAAGAAACAUUGGGUCCACUGUACACGAAGAAGAUUGAUUUUCUCGGAUAAAUCAGAAAAUAAAAUGAGAAAAAUUGUGGUACUGAAGACUAAGACUCUUUUUUCUCUCUUGAUGAUCACACAAUUGAUGGAGAUUCUACGCCUCGAAGAGAUCCCUAAGCACCAUGUCGUGAAGCGGUGGACGAGAGACGCAAGGGAUAUACUGCCAGAUCACUUGGUCCGGUACUAGUGAGAUAAUUCAGUAAACCUAUCGUUCACGUGUAGGCAUGCAAUGUUGUACCUGAAGGCCAUGGAAGUCGUGUAGAUGGGGGAUGCAAGUGCUGCAUGUUAUGACCAUGUGAAUGCAGGUCUCGGCGCUCUGCUGCUGAGUGGAGCCCCAUUGGCGGAGAAAAGGGAUGGUUUGGCAUUUGAGGACCAAUUGGUUGAAACAAUGGGUGCAAGGCUACAUGGCACCUUGGACAUUGCAAAUGUGGAAGGAGGAGAUGGACGAUGCCACGGUGCUGGGCAUUCUGCUAGUGUGAAUGGGCUGCAUGGUCUUUCAGCCCCGGAUAAGCAUAGAGGCACUGGAAGGCCGACAAACAGCAGAGACAGAGCCCCAUACAAAGGGUUAAGUAAACCAACUAGAUUCUGCAGCAUUUGUCAACGAGAAGAUCACAAAAGGACCACAUGACCGGAUAGAGGGGAUGCACCAAAGAAGUCACGGAAGCCAGGGAAAUGCAAGAACUGCGGAAUAGAAGGGCAUCGGCGGAAUACCUGCAAAAUCCCAAUUGGUUUUACUGGGAACUGAGCUAUAAAAAUUUCAGUUCGGGCUAAAUGUUCUUAACCAGGGGAUUUUCCAGCGUGUUUGAAAUGGACACUCCUCCACUCUAUAUUCCUUCAGUCUAGAUGGUCGUGUGUCCUGCUGUAUCUAAGAGCAUGAACUCUGUGUGUGUAUGUCUGAAUUGCGAUGAACCAUGUAUGGUUUUUGUUUGAAUUCUGAUGAACUAAUUUACUUGCAGACAAAUUGUGUUCCUCCCUAGGAAAAAAAUUCUGCAAACACCAAGAAAAAUGGGACAUAUGCCCAGUCUAGCCGAUUAUUUGUCUUUCGUCCGAAAUGGUGUGUGCUUUGCUUCCUGAACUGAAGAUGUGCUGGGUUGACACAUGGGCACCAUGCAUGAUCACGACGGAGUAGGUCUUCAGCGGGCACUCUCAUUUUCAAUAUUCAGAAAACUGAUGGGCAGAUUAAAUGCGUGCGGGGUCCUGGGGUAGCCCCGGAUGCAGUAUAAAACAGGGAUUGCCUCAGUUCAGCAAUUGCCAAUAGUUCAAACAUAAUUGAAAGCUAGCGGCUACAUCAGACAGGGCGCUCGUUUGUUCAAUCGGCGGCGAGUGGCUCAACCUGAACGUCCGGUGGGCGUGACACUUUUGGCCUCUCGAAAGAUCAAGUGAUCAUGGAUUCCCCCCUUCUUGACCAAUCCAUCUAUAGUGAUUCUCUAGAGGAGAUGAGGUGUUGCGUCGUUUGCUGAUGGAAUCUGCUCCUCGCAGACAUUGUCAUACACGAGCAUGGAUUCAGCAUCAAGCGCGUGGAGUACAACGCAACUGCCGGAGAUGGAGCUGGAAAU